AUGUGGAGCCACCAGCCUUUAGCUGUGACAGGCUCCGGCGCUCUCCCAGGGUGCCCCAAAGCUCCCCCAGCACCAGGGCUGUCCCAGGGACCCCCGGCUGCUCCCUCCCCACAGCCCCCAGGCAGCCUGCACCGGGGUACCCUGUGCAGAGCGGCUUUAUCCCCGACCGUUCUCCGGCUCCUUGGCCCUUGGCAUGUUCGAUCUGCUCUGCAGAACAGCCCCUGUUCAGGAGCACCCAGAGAAGGGGAACCCUCGGCACGGGGGGCACGAUGGGCUGGGGGAGGCCGCGAGGGCAGCGGCCGCGAAGGCCCCGGCGCCAGGCCCGGCCCCGUGCCCGGCGGGUCAGGCCGGCCCCGCAGUAGCGCCGCCGGAGCCCCGGGGAGCGGGGCCAUGGCCGCCCCGGGCCUGGCGGGCAGAGUCCCCGCAGGUCCCCGGAGCCGCCGAGCCGGGCCGGGCGGGCAGAACCCGGCGGGUCCCGGGCUCGGAGACGCCCGUCGGGCGGGCACCGCGCGGCCGGCCGGGCCGGGAAGGGUUAAGGGCGGCCGGCGCCCCCCCGGCGCGGAGGCCGGGCCUGUCGGGAAGCCGGGAUCUCUGCGGCGGUUUUACUGGAAAAGUCGCUGCCGGCGGAGGGGGGGCACCCGCGGCCUCGCAGGCUGGGGACGGGGCACCGGCCCGGACCACGCGGCCACCGGGCUCCGGCAGCGGCCCGCGCGGAGCUCCGGCCGAGGCUCCCCGGGGCACCCGCGGCUCCCUCGCCGGCCACGGCCCCGGCAGCCCCGGGACUGUAGCCGUCGGGGGCCUGUCCCGGGCCGAAGCUCGGCCGAUACCACAGCUCUGGACAUGUCACCGGCACCCGGGAGUGCAGCGGGGUCCCGGUCCCGGGUGCCCUACCCGACCCGGCUGAGCCUGGAGCCAGCGCUCCCAGUGCUCCUGGGCAUCACCCUGCCGUUCCCGGCAGCAGAAAACUGCUCGGCUCCGUGGCUCAGGUCCCUCGAGGGCGAUGGACAGCAGCUGCCUCAGCCCAGAUGGGACCAGGGCCCUCCAGAACGGGCAGGGCCAGUGACACCCAUUGGGACGAGCCAUGGAGCCGAAAGGGCACACAGGGUGAGCAGCACGUGCAGCAUGGACAGUGUUGCCGCAGGGCUCGCAGACUGGCAGGAAAGCACCCUGAGCUCAUGGUGA
This 1182-nucleotide long non-coding RNA is filed under the name Taeniopygia guttata (zebra finch). RNAcentral's name for it is "lncRNA (ENSTGUG00000023736.1)". The record is from RNAcentral. Lineage: Eukaryota; Metazoa; Chordata; Aves; Passeriformes; Estrildidae.